AGGGACGGCGGAGAGCUCACCUUGGCCGAAAACGGGGAGAAAAGCUCUCCCGUUCGGACAUGGGGACCCCUUUAUAGGUGGCUGGCCAGGCCACUUUCGGGGGCCUAACGUGCCUCCGCAUGCAUGCCAUGUUCGGCGGCCGAACUUAAGGUUCGGCGGCCGAACCUAGACUUCCCUCACUUAUGCUUUCGGGGGCCUAAAGCACUCCCGAAACGCAUGCACGUUCGGCGGCCGAACUUGGGAUUUGGCGGCCGAACCUGAG
Molecule: long non-coding RNA, 262 nt
Filed under: Manihot esculenta (cassava)
Lineage: Eukaryota; Viridiplantae; Streptophyta; Magnoliopsida; Malpighiales; Euphorbiaceae
Description: long non-coding RNA (MESC_LNC002438)
Source: RNAcentral